GUGGGGAAUAUUCCGCAAUGGACGAAAGUCUGACGGAGCAACGCCGCGUGAGUGAUGAAGGUUUUCGGACUGUAAAGCUCUGUUGUUUAGGACGAAAGUGCCUGUUGCGAACAGUUACAGGUAUUGACGGUACUAAACGAGGAAGCCACGGCUAACUACGUGCCAGCAGCCGCGGUAAUACGUAGGUGGCAAGCGUUGUCCGGAAUUAUUGGGCGUAAAGAGCAUGUAGGCGGGAAUCUAAGUCUGUUGUGAAAAUGCGGGGCUCAACCCCGUAUUGCGAUGGAAACUGGGUUUCUUGAGUGCAGGAGAGGAAAGGGGAAUUCCCAGUGUAGCGGUGAAAUGCGUAGAUAUUGGGAGGAACACCAGUGGCGAAGGCGCCUUUCUGGACUGUGUCUGACGCUGAGAUGCGAAAGCCAGGGUAGCGAACGGGAUUAGAUACCCGGGUAGUCC
RNAcentral lists this ribosomal RNA (450 nucleotides) under uncultured bacterium. RNAcentral's name for it is "partial 16S ribosomal RNA". It matches the Rfam family "Bacterial small subunit ribosomal RNA", at positions 354 to 796 of the family's 1533-position model. The record is from RNAcentral.